RNAcentral lists this ribosomal RNA (504 nucleotides) under uncultured bacterium. RNAcentral describes it as "partial 16S ribosomal RNA". It matches the Rfam family "Bacterial small subunit ribosomal RNA", at positions 30 to 523 of the family's 1533-position model. The record is from RNAcentral.
AUUGAACGCUGGCGGAAGGCCUAACACAUGCAAGUCGGACGGUAGCACAGAGAGCUUGCUCUUGGGUGACGAGUGGCGGACGGGUGAGUAAUGUCUGGGGAUCUGCCCGAUAGAGGGGGAUAACCACUGGAAACGGUGGCUAAUACCGCAUAACGUCGCAAGACCAAAGAGGGGGACCUUCGGGCCUCUCACUAUCGGAUGAACCCAGAUGGGAUUAGCUAGUAGGCGGGGUAAUGGCCCACCUAGGAGACGAUCCCUAGCUGGUCUGAGAGGAUGACCAGCCACACUGGAACUGAGACACGGUCCAGACUCCUACGGGAGGCUGCAGUGGGGAAUAUUGCACAAUGGUCGCAAGCCUGAUGCAGCCAUGCCGCGUGUAUGAAGAAGGCCUUCGGGUUGUAAAGUACUUUCAGCGGGGAGGAAGGCGACGCGGUUAAUAACCGCGUCGAUUGACGUUACCCGCAGAAGAAGCACCGGCUAACUCCGUGCCAGCCGCCGCAGUAA